AAUUGCUGUCCUAGUUUGUAUACGCCACAAAUUGGGAUAAGUGAAGUAAUAUAUAUUGCUGUGUGUAGUCUUUGCCUGUCAGCCCAUGAUAGGCUUUUUUUUUG
Molecule: small RNA, 104 nt
Filed under: Xenorhabdus budapestensis
Lineage: Bacteria; Pseudomonadati; Pseudomonadota; Gammaproteobacteria; Enterobacterales; Morganellaceae
Description: RprA
Source: RNAcentral